This 255-nucleotide ribosomal RNA is filed under the name Vibrio cholerae. Its description in RNAcentral is "partial 16S ribosomal RNA". It matches the Rfam family "Bacterial small subunit ribosomal RNA", at positions 711 to 965 of the family's 1533-position model. Lineage: Bacteria; Pseudomonadati; Pseudomonadota; Gammaproteobacteria; Vibrionales; Vibrionaceae. The record is from RNAcentral.
GGUGGCGAAGGCGGCCCCCUGGACAGAUACUGACACUCAGAUGCGAAAGCGUGGGGAGCAAACAGGAUUAGAUACCCUGGUAGUCCACGCCGUAAACGAUGUCUACUUGGAGGUUGUGCCCUAGAGGUGUGGCUUUCGGAGCUAACGCGUUAAGUAGACCGCCUGGGGAGUACGGUCGCAAGAUUAAAACUCAAAUGAAUUGACGGGGGCCCGCACAAGCGGUGGAGCAUGUGGUUUAAUUCGAUGCAACGCGAA